CCUACGGGCGGCAGCAGUGGGGGAUAUUGCACAAUGGGGGAAACCCUGAUGCAGCGACGCCGCGUGGGCGAAGAAGUAUUUCGGUAUGUAAAGCCCUAUCAGCAGGGAAGAAGAAAUGACGGUACCUGAGUAAGAAGCACCGGCUAAAUACGUGCCAGCAGCCGCGGUAAUACGUAUGGUGCAAGCGUUAUCCGGAUUUACUGGGUGUAAAGGGAGCGCAGGCGGCACGGCAAGCCUGAUGUGAAAGCCCGCGGCCCAACCGCGGGACUGCAUUGGGAACUACCGGGCUGGAGUGCCGGAGAGGUAGGCGGAAUUCCUAGUGUAGCGGUGAAAUGCGUAGAUAUUAGGAGGAACACCAGUGGCGAAGGCGGCUUACUGGACUGUAAAUGACGCUGAGGCUCGAAAGCGUGGGGAGCAAACAGGAUUAGAUACCCGGGUAGAC
Molecule: ribosomal RNA, 442 nt
Filed under: uncultured bacterium
Lineage: Bacteria
Description: partial 16S ribosomal RNA
Rfam family: Bacterial small subunit ribosomal RNA
Source: RNAcentral